AGAGUGAACGCUGGCGGUAGGCCUAACACAUGCAAGUCGAACGGCAGCACAGUAGGAGCUUGCUCUUACGGGUGGCGAGUGGCGGACGGGUGAGGAAUACAUCGGAAUCUACCUUUUGGUGGGGGAUAACGUAGGGAAACUUACGCUAAUACCGCAUACGCCCUUCGGGGGAAAGCCGGGGACCAGCAAUGGCCUGGCGCUGAUAGAUGAGCCGAUGUCGGAUUAGCUAGUUGGUGAGGUAAUGGCUCACCGAGGCGACGAUCCGUAGCUGGUCUGAGAGGAUGAUCAGCCACACUGGAACUGAGACACGGUCCAGACUCCUACGGGAGGCAGCAGUGGGGAAUAGUUGGACAAUGGGCGCGAAGCCUGAUCCAGCCAUACCGCGUGGGUGAAGAAGGCCUCGGAGUUAGUAACGUCCGUUUGUUAGGAAAG
Molecule: ribosomal RNA, 432 nt
Filed under: uncultured soil bacterium
Lineage: Bacteria
Description: bacterial SSU rRNA
Rfam family: Bacterial small subunit ribosomal RNA
Source: RNAcentral